GAAACUGCCUGAUGGAAGGGGAUAACUACUGGAAACGGUAGCUAAUACCGCAUAACGUCGCAAGACCAAAGAGGGGGACCUUCGGGCCUCUUGCCAUCGGAUGUGCCCAGAUGGGAUUAGCUAGUAGGUGGGGUAACGGCUCACCUAGGCGACGAUCCCUAGCUGGUCUGAGAGGAUGACCAGCCACACUGGAACUGAGACACGGUCCAGACUCCUACGGGAGGCAGCAGUGGGGAAUAUUGCACAAUGGGCGCAAGCCUGAUGCAGCCAUGCCGCGUGUAUGAAGAAGGCCUUCGGGUUGUAAAGUACUUUCAGCGGGGAGGAAGGCGAUAAGGUUAAUAACCUUGUCGAUUGACGUUACCCGCAGAAGAAGCACCGGCUAACUCCGUGCCAGCAGCCGCGGUAAUACGGAGGGUGCAAGCGUUAAUCGGAAUUACUGGGCGUAAAGCGCACGCA
RNAcentral lists this ribosomal RNA (456 nucleotides) under Enterobacter sp. RNAcentral's name for it is "bacterial SSU rRNA". It matches the Rfam family "Bacterial small subunit ribosomal RNA", at positions 122 to 573 of the family's 1533-position model. Lineage: Bacteria; Pseudomonadati; Pseudomonadota; Gammaproteobacteria; Enterobacterales; Enterobacteriaceae. The record is from RNAcentral.